AACAUCGCGCACCUGCGGGAACCUGCGGAAGGAUCAUUACAGAGUUGCAAAACUCCCUAAACCAUUGUGAACGUUACCUAAACCGUUGCUUCGGCGGGCGGCCCGGGUCCUUCCCGGCGCCCCUCGGCCCUCGCGGGCGCCCGCCGGAGGUAAACCAAACUAUUGCACUGUAUGGCCUCUCUGAGUCUUCUGUACUGAAUAAGUCAAAACUUUCAACAACGGAUCUCAGAUCGGAAGAGC
RNAcentral lists this unclassified non-coding RNA (240 nucleotides) under soil metagenome. RNAcentral's name for it is "partial contains 5.8S ribosomal RNA, internal transcribed spacer 2, and large subunit ribosomal RNA". The record is from RNAcentral.